Molecule: ribosomal RNA, 118 nt
Filed under: Pteropus alecto (black flying fox)
Lineage: Eukaryota; Metazoa; Chordata; Mammalia; Chiroptera; Pteropodidae
Source: RNAcentral
GUCUAUGGCCAUGCCACCCUGAACAAGCCUGAUCCCAUCUGCUCUCAGAAGCUAAAUAGGUUCGGGGCUGGUUUUUCCUUGGAUGGGAGACCUCCUAGGAAGACCGGUGCUGUAGGCA